Molecule: non-coding RNA, 224 nt
Organism: Pelobates cultripes (western spadefoot toad)
Lineage: Eukaryota; Metazoa; Chordata; Amphibia; Anura; Pelobatidae
Source: the annotation of a GenBank genome assembly
CUUGACUACUGCAAUCCCCUUCUCAGUGGUCUUACAUGUUCCCAGAUUGCCCCGCUGCAAUCUACAAUGAAUGUGGCAGCGAGGCUCAUUUUCAUUUCUGCCUGCACCUCUCAUACCUCCCCCCUCUGACAGUCCCUACAUUGGCUUCCAGUUAGAUAUAGGGCUCAAUAUAAGAUUCUGGUGCUUGCUUACAAGUUCCUACAUAAUGCUGCUCUGACCUACCU